GAUGAACGCUGGCGGCGUGCCUAAUACAUGCAAGUCGAGCGAACAGACGAGGAGCUUGCUCCUCUGACGUUAGCGGCGGACGGGUGAGUAACACGUGGAUAACCUACCUAUAAGACUGGGAUAACUUCGGGAAACCGGAGCUAAUACCGGAUAAUAUAUUGAACCGCAUGGUUCAAUAGUGAAAGACGGUUUUGCUGUCACUUAUAGAUGGAUCCGCGCCGCAUUAGCUAGUUGGUAAGGUAACGGCUUACCAAGGCAACGAUGCGUAGCCGACCUGAGAGGGUGGUCGGCCACACUGGAACGGAGCCACGGUCCAGACUCCUACGGGAGGCAGCAGUAGGGAAUCUUCCGCAAUGGGCGAAAGCUUGACGGAGCAACGCCGCGUGAGUGAUGAAGGUCUUCGGAUCGUAAAACUCUGUUAUUAGGGAAGAACAAAUGUGUAAGUAACUAUGCACGUCUUGACGGUACCUAAUCAGAAAGCCACGGCUAACUACGUG
RNAcentral lists this ribosomal RNA (497 nucleotides) under uncultured bacterium. RNAcentral describes it as "partial 16S ribosomal RNA". It matches the Rfam family "Bacterial small subunit ribosomal RNA", at positions 28 to 507 of the family's 1533-position model. The record is from RNAcentral.